RNAcentral lists this non-coding RNA (84 nucleotides) under human gut metagenome. RNAcentral describes it as "Glycine riboswitch". It matches the Rfam family "Glycine riboswitch aptamer", at positions 9 to 86 of the family's 94-position model. From Rfam's summary of the family: This family represents the bacterial glycine riboswitch. Glycine riboswitches usually consist of two metabolite-binding aptamers domains with similar structures in tandem. The record is from RNAcentral.
ACACUCUGGAGAAUUUCACGUUUGUUGAAAGCCGAAGGUGCAAGGCGAUAAAAAGCCGAAUCUCUCAGGUAAACAGACAGAGCA